CCUACGGGAGGCUGCAGUGGGGGAUAUUGCACAAUGGGGGGAACCCUGAUGCAGCGAAGCCGCGUGGGUGAAGGAGCGUUUCGGCGCGUAAAGCCCUAUCGGCAGGGGAGAAGAUGACGGCACCUGACCAAGAAGCCACGGCUACCGACGUGCCAGCAGCCGCCGUAAUCCGUAGGGGUGAAGCGUUAUUCGGGUUUACGGGGUUUAAAGGGGGCGCAGACGGCAAUGCAAGCCAGGAGGGAAAGCCCUGGGGCCAACCCCGAGACCGCUCUUGAUACUGUAGGGCUAGAGUACAGGAGAGGCAGGCGGAAUUCCUAGUGUAGCGGUGAAAUGCGUAGAUAUUAGGAGGAACACCGGUGGCGAAGGCAGCCUGCUGGACUGUGACUGACGUUGAUGCCCGAAGGCGUGGGUAGCAAACAGGAUUAGAUACCCCUGUAGUC
Molecule: ribosomal RNA, 440 nt
Filed under: uncultured bacterium
Lineage: Bacteria
Description: partial 16S ribosomal RNA
Rfam family: Bacterial small subunit ribosomal RNA
Source: RNAcentral